AGGAAAGGAGACAAGGGCACAUGAAGGAUGCCUUGGCUCUCGGAGGCGAAGAAGGACGUGAUAAGCUGCGAUAAGCCGCGGUUAGGGGCAAAUACCCAUUGACCCGCGGAUUUCCGAAUGGGGCAACCCGCCGGAGGCGACUCCGGCACUCCACCGACGUGGAGAGCGAACCCGGGGAACUGAAACAUCUCAUUACCCGGAGGAAAAGAAAAUAACAAUGAUUCCGCAAGUAGUGGCGAGCGAACGCGGAAGAGCCCAAACCGGGUCCGUUACGGCGGGUCCGGGGUUGUAGGACCGGUCGACAAAGUCACGUGCCAGCGAUAGUGGAAAUGACUGGAAAGUCAUGCCGCAGCGGGUGAAAGCCCCUUACACGAAAUCGCUUGUGCGGACGAGACCGGCACCUGAGUAGCGCGGGACACGAGAAAUCCUGUGUGAAUCUGCGGGGACCAUCCCGUAAGGCUAAAUACUACCGAGAGACCGAUAGCGAACCAGUACCGUGAGGGAAAGGUGAAAAGAACCCCGAACAGGGGAGUGAAACAGACCCUGAAAUCAUGUGCCUACAAGCGGUCGGAGCCACUUCGUGUGGUGACGGCGUGCCUUUUGCAUAAUGAACCUACGAGUUGCCUUCGCCGGCGAGGCUAAGGGCAAGUAUGCCC
RNAcentral lists this ribosomal RNA (656 nucleotides) under Muribaculum sp. Its description in RNAcentral is "partial 23S ribosomal RNA". It matches the Rfam family "Bacterial large subunit ribosomal RNA", at positions 1 to 661 of the family's 2925-position model. Lineage: Bacteria; Pseudomonadati; Bacteroidota; Bacteroidia; Bacteroidales; Muribaculaceae. The record is from RNAcentral.